RNAcentral lists this ribosomal RNA (1377 nucleotides) under uncultured bacterium. Its description in RNAcentral is "bacterial SSU rRNA". It matches the Rfam family "Bacterial small subunit ribosomal RNA", at positions 18 to 1390 of the family's 1533-position model. The record is from RNAcentral.
CCUGGCUCAGGAUGAACGCUAGCUACAGGCUUAACACAUGCAAGUCGAGGGGCAGCAUGGUCUUAGCUUGCUAAGGCCGAUGGCGACCGGCGCACGGGUGAGUAACACGUAUCCAACCUGCCGUCUACUCUUGGACAGCCUUCUGAAAGGAAGAUUAAUACAAGAUGGCAUCAUGAGUCCGCAUGUUCACAUGAUUAAAGGUAUUCCGGUAGACGAUGGGGAUGCGUUCCAUUAGAUAGUAGGCGGGGUAACGGCCCACCUAGUCUUCGAUGGAUAGGGGUUCUGAGAGGAAGGUCCCCCACAUUGGAACUGAGACACGGUCCAAACUCCUACGGGAGGCAGCAGUGAGGAAUAUUGGUCAAUGGGCGAGAGCCUGAACCAGCCAAGUAGCGUGAAGGAUGACUGCCCUAUGGGCUGUAAACUUCUUUUAUAAAGGAAUAAAGUCGGGUAUGGAUACCCGUUUGCAUGUACUUUAUGAAUAAGGAUCGGCUAACUCCGUGCCAGCAGCCGCGGUAAUACGGAGGAUCCGAGCGUUAUCCGGAUUUAUUGGGUUUAAAGGGAGCGUAGAUGGAUGUUUAAGUCAGUUGUGAAAGUUUGCGGCUCAACCGUAAAAUUGCAGUUGAUACUGGAUAUCUUGAGUGCAGUUGAGGCAGGCGGAAUUCGUGGUGUAGCGGUGAAAUGCUUAGAUAUCACGAAGAACUCCGAUUGCGAAGGCAGCCUGCUAAGCUGCAACUGACAUUGAGGCUCGAAAGUGUGGGUAUCAAACAGGAUUAGAUACCCUGGUAGUCCACACGGUAAACGAUGAAUACUCGCUGUUUGCGAUAUACUGCAAGCGGCCAAGCGAAAGCGUUAAGUAUUCCACCUGGGGAGUACGCCGGCAACGGUGAAACUCAAAGGAAUUGACGGGGGCCCGCACAAGCGGAGGAACAUGUGGUUUAAUUCGAUGAUACGCGAGGAACCUUACCCGGGCUUAAAUUGCAGAUGAAUUACGGUGAAAGCCGUAAGCCGCAAGGCAUCUGUGAAGGUGCUGCAUGGUUGUCGUCAGCUCGUGCCGUGAGGUGUCGGCUUAAGUGCCAUAACGAGCGCAACCCUUGCCGAUAGUUACUAACAGGUCAUGCUGAGGACUCUGUCGGGACUGCCAUCGUAAGAUGUGAGGAAGGUGGGGAUGACGUCAAAUCAGCACGGCCCUUACGUCCGGGGCUACACACGUGUUACAAUGGGGGGUACAGAGGGCCGCUACCACGCGAGUGGAUGCCAAUCCCCAAAACCUCUCUCAGUUCGGACUGGAGUCUGCAACCCGACUCCACGAAGCUGGAUUCGCUAGUAAUCGCGCAUCAGCCACGGCGCGGUGAAUACGUUCCCGGGCCUUGUACACAC